This 253-nucleotide ribosomal RNA is filed under the name uncultured bacterium. RNAcentral describes it as "partial 16S ribosomal RNA". It matches the Rfam family "Bacterial small subunit ribosomal RNA", at positions 524 to 776 of the family's 1533-position model. The record is from RNAcentral.
GACAGAGGUGCCAAGCGUUAAUCGGAAUUACUGGGCGUAAAGCGUGCGCAGGCGGUUUUGUAAGCCAGAUGUGAAAUCCCCGGGCUUAACCUGGGAAUGGCAUUCGGGACUGCAAGGCUUGAGUGCGGCAGAGGAGACUGGAAUUCCUGGUGUAGCAGUGAAAUGCGUAGAUAUCAGGAGGAACACCGAUGGCGAAGGCAGGUCUCUGGGCUGACACUGACGCUCAUGCACGAAAGCGUGGGGAGCAAACAGG